This is a long non-coding RNA of Oncorhynchus tshawytscha (Chinook salmon), 1000 nucleotides long. Lineage: Eukaryota; Metazoa; Chordata; Actinopteri; Salmoniformes; Salmonidae. The record is from Ensembl.
GUCAAUGUGGAGGAUAUAUACAGAGGGUACUGGAACAGAGUCAAUGUGGAGGAUAUAUACAGAGGGUACUGGAACAAAGUCAAUGUGGAGGCUAUAUACAGAGGGUACUGGAACAGAGUCAAUGUGGAGGCUAUAUACAGAGGGUACCGGAACAGAGUCAAUGUGGAGGCUAUAUACAGAGGGUACUGGAACAGAGUCAAUGUGGAGGCUAUAUACAGGGUGUACCGGUACAGAGUCAAUGUGGAGGCUAUAUACAGAGGGUACCGGUACAGAGUCAAUGUGGAGGCUAUAUACAGGGGUACCGGUACAGAGUCAAUGUGGAGGCUAUAUACAGAGGGUACCGGUACAGAGUCAAUGUGGAGGCUAUAUACAGGAGGUACCGGUACAGAGUCAAUGUAAAGACUAUAUACAGGGGGUAGGGGUACAGAGUCAAUGUGGAGGCUAUAAACAGAGGGUACCGGUACAGAGUCAAUGUGGAGGCUAUAUACAGAGGGUACCGGUACAGAGUCAAUGUGGAGGCUAUAUACAGAGGGUACCGGUACAGAGUCAAUGUGGAGACUAUAUACAGGGGGUACCGGUACAGAGUCAAUGUGGAGGCUAUAUACAGGGGAUACCGGUACAGAGUCAAUGUGGAGACUAUAUACAGGGGGUACCGGUACAGAGUCAAUGUGGAGGCUAUAUACAGGGGGUACCUUUACAGAGUCAAUGUGGAGACUAUAUACAGGGGGUACCGGUACAGAGUCAAUGUGGAGGCUAUAUACAGAGGGUACCGGUACAGAGUCAAUGUGGAGGCUAUAUACAGGGUGUACCGGUACAGAGUCAAUGUGGAGGCUAUAUACAGAGGGUACCGGUACAGAGUCAAUGUGGAGACUAUAUACAGGGGGUACCGGUACAGAGUCAAUGUGGAGACUAUAUACAGGGGAUACCGGUACAGAGUCAAUGUGGAGACUAUAUACAGGGGGUACCGGUACAGAGUCAAUGUGGAGACUAUAUACAGGGG